GAGACCUCAGGUCAGGCGGGGCUACCCGCUGAGUUUAAGCA
This 41-nucleotide ribosomal RNA is filed under the name Almaleea cambagei. RNAcentral's name for it is "partial 26S ribosomal RNA". The record is from RNAcentral. Lineage: Eukaryota; Viridiplantae; Streptophyta; Magnoliopsida; Fabales; Fabaceae. RNAcentral also lists the same sequence under 13 other names.